RNAcentral lists this ribosomal RNA (253 nucleotides) under uncultured bacterium. Its description in RNAcentral is "partial 16S ribosomal RNA". It matches the Rfam family "Bacterial small subunit ribosomal RNA", at positions 524 to 776 of the family's 1533-position model. The record is from RNAcentral.
CACGUAGGGCGCAAGCGUUGUCCGGAAUUAUUGGGCGUAAAGAGCUCGUAGGCGGUCUGUUGCGUCCGCUGUGAAAACUCGGGGCUUAACCCCGAGCCUGCAGUGGAUACGGGCAGACUAGAGGUAGGUAGGGGAGAAUGGAAUUCCCGGUGUAGCGGUGAAAUGCGCAGAUAUCAGGAGGAACACCUGUGGCGAAAGCGGCUCACUGGACCACAACUGACGCUGAUGCACGAAAGCUAGGGGAGCAAACAGG